UUUGAAGAUAACCCCGGAGAUCUGCAGCUACUGAGACACGACAAAGAACCGCAUCCUGCUGUUGUCAAACCCCACCUGAAGAACAUUCCAGAAUACCUCAUUCCUCAGACAAUGAAGGGGGUCUUAAAUCCACUGCCAUUCAAGAAGAGGAGGAAGAGAGAAAAGUCAAACUCACAUGGUGUCACCAAGACCAGUUUUAAGAAGAACGUUCAGGGGAAGAACCCACUGAAGAGUUUUUGCUACAGCAGAAGGAAACCC
This is a long non-coding RNA of Thalassophryne amazonica, 258 nucleotides long. RefSeq lists it as uncharacterized. Lineage: Eukaryota; Metazoa; Chordata; Actinopteri; Batrachoidiformes; Batrachoididae. The record is from RefSeq and is a predicted model, not a curated record. The transcript has 3 exons.